This 381-nucleotide ribosomal RNA is filed under the name uncultured bacterium. RNAcentral's name for it is "bacterial SSU rRNA". It matches the Rfam family "Bacterial small subunit ribosomal RNA", at positions 28 to 408 of the family's 1533-position model. The record is from RNAcentral.
GACGAACGCUGGCGGCGUGCUUAACACAUGCAAGUCGAGCGGUAAGGCCCUUUCGGGGGUACGACGAGCGGCGAACGGGUGAGUAACACGUGGGUGACCUGCCCUUAGCUCUGGGAUAAGCCUGGGAAACUGGGUCUAAUACCGGAUAUGACUCCAUAACGCAUGUUGUGGGGUGGAAAGCCUUGUACGGCUAGGGAUGGGCCCGCGGCCUAUCAGCUUGUUGGUGGGGUGAUGGCCUACCAAGGCGACGACGGGUAGCCGGCCUGAGAGGGCGACCGGCCACACUGGGACUGAGACACGGCCCAGACUCCUACGGGAGGCAGCAGUGGGGAAGUCUUGCGCAAUGGGCGAAAGCCUGACGCAGCGACGCCGCGUGGGGAU